Molecule: long non-coding RNA, 1020 nt
Organism: Ricinus communis (castor bean)
Lineage: Eukaryota; Viridiplantae; Streptophyta; Magnoliopsida; Malpighiales; Euphorbiaceae
Exons: 2
Source: RefSeq, a predicted model, not a curated record
UCCUUCUCCCUCCUUUCCACCGACGCCGACAAAGGAAGAAGGGGCUGCCAUCGUCGGUUUGGCCUCCUGCCGGCGUCCUUUCGGUAAACCGACACUGAAAUCGGACUCCCCACCCCAGAAGCGACCCUCUUUGCGGUGAAAUUCCCCGUUGGCAGCCUCGGGAAGCUUCACCGUAGCAAUACCUUUUCGGCCUCGAUCCGGUGUCUUUCGGUCACUUUCCGACCGGAAUUCUUGUAUUUUUAGACUCCUCACAACUCGAGCUUCGCGUAGGCCCUUCCGAAUUCGAAUUCUGACGCUGUUGGCAAGACCGGCUUUCAGACCCCGGUGCUUUUCGGCCGUGCGAAAUAUUACAAUUUCGACUCGGUAUAAUUUUAUUUAGACCUUAAAAAUUAUGUUGUAAUUUUAGAAAAAUAUUGUGGCUAUUAAUUAUCAGUGAUGGAUAAAUUAAAAAUUAUUUGGAUUUAAUUAUUUGUGUUUGUGAUGUGUUGCAGAGUCGAAAAAGUUAAUGCAGUUUUGGUUGCCCGACUCCCGUUAAUUAAUCGCAGUAUAUUUGAAGUACUUUUUGGCAGGUUUUGGACCCGUUUUAUAGGAGAUAAACGUCCGUAAUUUAGGAGAGGUUCCACUGAAUUUUCGAACAAAAUUUUCGAGUCUAAAGUAAUUUCAAGCAGUUUAAUCUAGGGGUCUAGGCCUAGGGAAAAAUUUAAGAUUUUCUAUUAACUAAGUGUUUUCGUGAAUAGAUAAUCCAUCCUUCCUGCCAGCUCCACCCAAGGUGUAGGAGCGGACUGAGGAGCGCGACAGAACUUUAAAGUUCUUCGGCAUCCUACAUUUUGACAGCCCGACUCCUUCCUUCAUUGAGCUUAUUGUUAAUAAUCUAUACUUUCAUAUUUUUGGUUAUUUUAUAUUUUAGACCUUCCGCAGUAGAAUAUUUUUUAUUGUUAUGAUUUUUUGGUCCAUAAUGGACGUGAAAUGUUAUCAGACCAGUUAGAUUUAUGUAUGGUAUGUCAAGCAUGAUUAAUGUUA